CAGCUGGGCGAUGGAGCUGUAUCAGCGCGGCAUCAUUACGACGACACACACGGGCGGCCUCGAACUGACGUGGGGCGACGCCGAGCUCGUCGAGCGACUGCUCUUCAUGACGUCGCGGCGCGAAGGCUUUGGCAACGUCCUCGCCGACAGCACCCGUGCGGUGGAGAAGGGACACUACCCGGCGGAGGCGCUCAAGUACCGCAUGGCCGUGAAGGGCCUGAUGCAGAGCGACCCGCACGACGCGCGCAUCCUGAAGGCGUUCGCACUCGGCCUGGCCGUGUCCACGCGUGGCAUGGAUCAUCUACGCAACCGGGUGACGCUCGAGAUCAACGCGAAGAUCAACGACGAUCCCG
RNAcentral lists this unclassified non-coding RNA (353 nucleotides) under plant metagenome. RNAcentral's name for it is "partial contains 5.8S ribosomal RNA, internal transcribed spacer 2, and large subunit ribosomal RNA". The record is from RNAcentral.